Molecule: long non-coding RNA, 634 nt
Organism: Vidua chalybeata
Lineage: Eukaryota; Metazoa; Chordata; Aves; Passeriformes; Viduidae
Exons: 3
Source: RefSeq, a predicted model, not a curated record
CCGCGCUCCGCCGCCAUGGCGCGGGUGGGCGAGCAGCGAGCGGGCCCGGCGGAGCCACCGCCCAGCGCCGCCGCAGAUUUCUUUCCUGAAUAGAAGGCUGCACCUCUGCCCCGUACCUCCAUGUCCAGCCUGUGAUCCUGGAAACAGUGACUGCCCAAGGAGACUCUUGGAGAGCGUGUAGGGAGGAGUGGGCUCAAAGCCAUUGGGAGAUGGCACGUUGUCCCAUGUACGGCUAGCAAAACCCAUUUGACAGUGACACAGCAUGAUAAAAUCACACCCAAUGAAACACACACUACUGGAUUCCAGAGAACCAUUCCUGACAGAUCACAUUCUGAUACAAGACAGACUGUCCAGUGAGACCAAGGAGAUAAGGGUCAGCCCCAAAGUGUGGAUGUGACAGCUUGGUCAGAGAGUGAGAAAACAAGGUAAGUUUUCUCACAGCACACUCCUGAAACUUUUAGGGAGUUAUAGAGAAACAAUGAUAGCUUGUUAUUGUAAACAACCUGCAGGUGGUGUUUUUCUAGUCUUUGUUUUUCUGUUCUUCUCAAGGAUUGUUAGUGAGAAAAGUGUUUUUGUUAAUUAGCCAAUCAGGUAGAAUGUGUCGAGUCAGUCUAUAAAGAGGAGAUUUUUUGGC